UCCUGAGGGUCUGCCUGCUCAGGUCACGGGUACUCUGGUAGAGAAGUGGAGUAUUAACAUCACAGAUACACACACACUAAUGGGAAGGAGCUCCCUCUGAAAACCGACAGCGGACAGCUACCAUGUUCUAGAUGCCCAUUUUAGUUCUUCAGAAAGCACAGUCGUCUCUUCUGGAUUCAGAACUCCAUCUCCAGCAUCAUGAUCUACAGAGAACCGGACACAAGACAAAACAAGCGAACACCAUCUUCUGAAAAUCAGGUUGCUUCUUUUAAACUGCCUUAGGUCACGUCAGCUCUGUGUUCCUGAGCGUCAAGGCUGAGCGGCUACACUGCAGCUGAAACAGAGCCAGCCAGCAGUGAGAGAGCUGCCUCUGUCUGGGCACUAGCGUGCUCUCAGGAGUUGUUUAGACUUCCAGCCCUCCUCUUCUCCAGUUCACGAAACAGAUGUAGAACUUUCAGCUACUUCUCCAGUUACCUCUCUUGCUUCCAUGCAUUUUUCUGGUCAUGAUGAUAAUGGACUGAACCUCUGAACAUGUAAGCCAGCCCCGAUUAAAUGUUCUCCUUUGU
RNAcentral lists this long non-coding RNA (566 nucleotides) under Mus caroli (Ryukyu mouse). RNAcentral's name for it is "lncRNA (MGP_CAROLIEiJ_G0002824.1)". Lineage: Eukaryota; Metazoa; Chordata; Mammalia; Rodentia; Muridae. The record is from RNAcentral.